GAUCAUGGCUCAGAUUGAACGCUGGCGGCAUGCUUUACACAUGCAAGUCGAACGGUAACAGGUUAAGCUGACGAGUGGCGAACGGGUGAGUAAUACAUCGGAACGUACCCUGUAGUGGGGGAUAACUACUCGAAAGAGUGGCUAAUACCGCAUACGAUCUACGGAUGAAAGUGGGGGACCGUAAGGCCUCGCGCGAUUGGAGCGGCCGAUAUCAGAUUAGGUAGUUGGUGGGGUAAAGGCCCACCAAGGCGACGAUCUGUAGCUGGUCUGAGAGGACGACCAGCCACACUGGAACUGAGACACGGUCCAGACUCCUACGGGAGGCAGCAGUGGGGAAUUUUGGACAAUGGACGCAAGUCUGAUCCAGCCAUUCCGCGUGCAGGACGAAGGCCUUCGGGUUGUAAACUGCUUUUGUACAGAACGAAAAGGUCUCUAUUAAUACUAGGGGCUCAUGACGGUACUGUAAGAAUAAGCACCGGCUAACUACGUG
RNAcentral lists this ribosomal RNA (490 nucleotides) under uncultured bacterium. Its description in RNAcentral is "bacterial SSU rRNA". It matches the Rfam family "Bacterial small subunit ribosomal RNA", at positions 15 to 507 of the family's 1533-position model. The record is from RNAcentral.